This 738-nucleotide ribosomal RNA is filed under the name uncultured bacterium. Its description in RNAcentral is "bacterial SSU rRNA". It matches the Rfam family "Bacterial small subunit ribosomal RNA", at positions 28 to 782 of the family's 1533-position model. The record is from RNAcentral.
AAUCAACGCUGGCGGCGUGCCUAACACAUGCAAGUCGAACGAGAAAGGGGAGCAAUCCCUGAGUACAGUGGCGUACGGGUGAGUAACACGUGACUAACCUACCUUCGAGUGGGGAAUAACUUCGGGAAACCGAGGCUAAGACCGCAUAACAUCUUUGGGUGAAAUUCCCGAUGAUCAAAUGCGCAAGCAGCUUGAAGAGGGGGUCGCGGUUGAUUAGCUAGUUGGUGAGGUAAUGGCUCACCAAGGCAAUGAUCAAUAGCCGGCCUGAGAGGGCGCACGGCCACACUGGAACUGAAACACGGUCCAGACUCCUACGGGAGGCAGCAGUGGGGAAUUUUGCGCAAUGGGGGAAACCCUGACGCAGCAACGCCGCGUGGAGGAUGAAGUCCCUUGGGACGUAAACUCCUUUCGAUCGGGACGAUAAUGACGGUACCGGAAGAAGAAGCCCCGGCUAACUUCGUGCCAGCAGCCGCGGUAAUACGAGGGGGGCAAGCGUUGUUCGGAAUUAUUGGGCGUAAAGGGCGCGUAGGCGGUGAGCACAAGUCAGUUGUGAAAUCUCCGGGCUUAACUCGGAAAGGUCAACUGAUACUGUGCGACUAGAGUGCGGAAGGGGCAACUGGAAUUCUCGGUGUAGCGGUGAAAUGCGUAGAUAUCGAGAGGAACACCUGCGGCGNNNNCGGGUUGCUGGGCCGACACUGACGCUGAUGCGCGAAAGCCAGGGGAGCGAACGGGAUUAGA